GAUGUGGUAUCGGGAGAGACUGUAACGGCAUGGCCGCAAACAGCGCCGAAGGAGCAACCGCCCCGGAAACUCUCAGGCAAAAGGACCGAUACUGCUGU
RNAcentral lists this non-coding RNA (98 nucleotides) under Pseudomonas sp. RNAcentral describes it as "Glycine sequence". It matches the Rfam family "Glycine riboswitch aptamer". From Rfam's summary of the family: This family represents the bacterial glycine riboswitch. Glycine riboswitches usually consist of two metabolite-binding aptamers domains with similar structures in tandem. The aptamers cooperatively bind glycine to regulate the expression of downstream genes. Lineage: Bacteria; Pseudomonadati; Pseudomonadota; Gammaproteobacteria; Pseudomonadales; Pseudomonadaceae. RNAcentral also lists the same sequence under 1 other name. The record is from RNAcentral.